ACGAACGCUGGCGGCGUGCUUAACACAUGCCAGUCGAACGGAAAGGCCCCUUUGGGGGUACUCGAGUGGCGAACGGGUGAGUAACACGUGAGUAACCUGCCCUUGACUUCGGGAUAACUUCAGGAAACUGGGGCUAAUACCGGAUAGGAAUCCUUGCUGCAUGGUGGGGGUUGGAAAGCUUCGGCGGGUUUGGAUGGACUCGCGGCUUAUCAGCUUGUUGGUGGGGUAGUGGCUUACCAAGGCUUUGACGGGUAGCCGGCCUGAGAGGGCGACCGGCCACAUUGGGACUGAGAUACGGCCCAGACUCCUACGGGAGGCAGCAGUGGGGAAUAUUGCACAAUGGGCGGAAGCCUGAUGCAGCAACGCCGCGUGCGGGAUGACGGCCUUCGGGUUGUAAACCGCUUUCAGCAGGGGCGAAGCUUGUGGUGACGGUACCUGCAGAAGAAGCACCGGCUAACUACGUG
RNAcentral lists this ribosomal RNA (464 nucleotides) under uncultured bacterium. Its description in RNAcentral is "partial 16S ribosomal RNA". It matches the Rfam family "Bacterial small subunit ribosomal RNA", at positions 29 to 507 of the family's 1533-position model. The record is from RNAcentral.